RNAcentral lists this ribosomal RNA (264 nucleotides) under uncultured archaeon. RNAcentral describes it as "partial 16S ribosomal RNA". It matches the Rfam family "Archaeal small subunit ribosomal RNA", at positions 718 to 982 of the family's 1478-position model. The record is from RNAcentral.
AGUCACUGACAUUAGAUACCCCUGUAGUCCAGGGUGUAAACGCUGCAGACUUGGUGUUGGAAAUCCUUUGAGGGUAUUCAGUGCCGGAGAGAAGUUGUUAAGUCUGCUACUUGGGAGUACGUCCGCAAGGAUGAAACUUAAAGGAAUUGGCGGGGGAGCACCGCAACGGGAGGAGCGUGCGGUUUAAUUGGAUUCAACGCCGAAAAACUCACCAGCAGCGACUGUUACAUGAAAGUCAGGUUGAUGACCUUACUAGAUUUUCAG